GGCCGCAUGGCCCAAUGGCAAGGCGUCUGACUACGAACAGCACCUGAUGAAAGAUCAUCUGCUGUAGGCAUCAGGAGAUUGCAGGUUCGAGCCCUGCUGUGGUCA
Transfer RNA from Verticillium longisporum, 105 nucleotides. It matches the Rfam family "tRNA". Rfam says of the family: Transfer RNA (tRNA) molecules are approximately 80 nucleotides in length. Their secondary structure includes four short double-helical elements and three loops (D, anti-codon, and T loops). Lineage: Eukaryota; Fungi; Ascomycota; Sordariomycetes; Glomerellales; Plectosphaerellaceae. The record is from Rfam.